GUAGUAGCAAAUACUCUAGCGAGAACCUGGAGGACUGAUGCGGAGAAGGGUUUCGUGUGAACAGCCGUUGCACACGAGUCAGUCGAUCCUAAGCCCUAGGAAAAAUCCGAAGUAUGGAGCGAAAGGCUGCUCCAUAGGGCGAAAGGGAAUCCGGUUCCUAUUCCGGAACCCGGUUGCGGAACCGUUUCACGUCGGGCCCCCCGUCUUCGGACGGGGCUCGUCGGGGUAACCCAAAUUGACCCGGAGAAGCCGUCGGGAAGUCGGGGAAGAGUUGUCUUUUCUGUUUGAGCGUUCGGGUUCCCUGGAAUUCUCUAGCAGAGAGAGAGGGAAUGGAACGCGUAGAGCACCGCAGUUGCGGCGGUGUCCCGACAUGCCCCUCGGACCAUGAAAAUCCGGGCAAAGGCCACGUGGAGGUGUCGCACCGGUUCGUACCCAUAUCCGCAGCAGGUCUCCAAGGUGAAAAGCCUCUAGUCGAUAGAACAAUGCAGAUAAGGGAAGUCGGCAAAUUGGAUCCGUAACUUCGGAAUAAGGAU
This 533-nucleotide ribosomal RNA is filed under the name Thetella sp. Com. RNAcentral describes it as "eukaryotic LSU rRNA". It matches the Rfam family "Eukaryotic large subunit ribosomal RNA", at positions 1457 to 1948 of the family's 3401-position model. The record is from RNAcentral. Lineage: Eukaryota; Metazoa; Arthropoda; Insecta; Orthoptera; Trigonidiidae.